CAGGGAAUCUUGCGCAAUGGGCGAAAGCCUGACGCAGCGACACCGCGUGGGGGAUGAAGGCUCUAGGGUUGUAAACCCCUUUUCGUGGGGAAGAGAGAGGACUGUACCCACGGAAUAAGCCUCGGCUAACUACGUGCCAGCAGCCGCGGUAAUACGUAGGAGGCGAGCGUUGUCCGGAUUUACUGGGCGUAAAGGGUGAGUAGGCGGCCGAACAAGUCUCGGGUGAAAUCUCCCGGCUCAACUGGGAGGGGUCCCGAGAUACUGUUUGGCUAGAGGGGAGCAGAGGAGGGUGGAAUUCCCGGAGGAGUGGUGAAAUGCGUAGAUAUCGGGAGGAACACCAGUGGCGAAGGCGGCCCUCUGGGCUUCCCCUGACGCUGAGUCACGAAAGCGUGGGGAGCAAACCGG
Molecule: ribosomal RNA, 405 nt
Filed under: uncultured bacterium
Lineage: Bacteria
Description: bacterial SSU rRNA
Rfam family: Bacterial small subunit ribosomal RNA
Source: RNAcentral